GGCAUGGUGCCAACUCAAGAAUUGAUAGCAGGAAGAUGGUGAGGAGGUGGAAAUUUUGACAAAGUAAUAAACUGCACUGCAUUGCAUUACAGAAGAGAGAUAGAUAGAUAGUUCGUGGGCUGCAGCAACACCACGAGUGGGCCGCGGCGCCACCAGCGGCGCCGCUGGGCAUAGAUCACGGUGGUGCUUUCUCUCCUCCUCCUGACAGCCUGGAAUGGGGCGCCUUGACCUCGUCCACUCUCCAAAGCCCACUCCACGCAUCACGCUUACAAGCUCCGGCGCAGUGGUGCUCUGCCGAUUGGAGUAGCGGCCGCCAUGGAUUCUCCGGCAAGGGCCUCAACUGGUGCAUCCAAAACAGCCAAGUUCUUGGCAUAUCACCCAGAUGAUCCGUGGAUGUGAGCUCGAUUUGCAGUUGUUCGCGGAUUUUGCUCACGUUGGGGACGACGCCGGCAUUUUUGCUGGUGUGGUUCCAGGUAUUUAAAAACUUGUAUAGUUCAUUUCGAGCUUGGGAAGUUUUCUCUUCACUUUUCGUUUC
This is a long non-coding RNA of Selaginella moellendorffii, 535 nucleotides long. RefSeq lists it as uncharacterized. The record is from RefSeq and is a predicted model, not a curated record. The transcript is spliced from 2 exons. NCBI's taxonomy places the organism in Eukaryota, Viridiplantae, Streptophyta, Lycopodiopsida, Selaginellales, Selaginellaceae.